This 506-nucleotide ribosomal RNA is filed under the name uncultured bacterium. RNAcentral's name for it is "partial 16S ribosomal RNA". It matches the Rfam family "Bacterial small subunit ribosomal RNA", at positions 30 to 523 of the family's 1533-position model. The record is from RNAcentral.
AUUGAACGCUGGCGGCAGGCCUAACACAUGCAAGUCGAACGGUAACAGGAAACAGCUUGCUGUUUCGCUGACGAGUGGCGGACGGGUGAGUAAUGUCUGGGAAACUGCCUGAUGGAGGGGGAUAACUACUGGAAACGGUAGCUAAUACCGCAUAACGUCGCAAGACCAAAGAGGGGGACCUUCGGGCCUCUUGCCAUCGGAUGUGCUCAGAUGGGAUUCGCUUGUUGGUGGGGUAACGGCUCACCAAGGCGACGAUCCCUAGCUGGUCUGAGAGGAUGACCAGCCACACUGGAACUGAGACACGGUCCAGACUCCUACGGGAGGCAGCAGUGGGGAAUAUUGCACAAUGGGCGCAAGCCUGAUGCAGCCAUGCCGCGUGUAUGAAGAAGGCCUUCGGGUUGUAAAGUACUUUCAGCGGGGAGGAAGGGAGUAAAGUUAAUACCUUUACUCAUUGACGUUACCCGCAGAAGAAGCACCGGCUAACUCCGUGCCAGCCGCCGCUGUAA